RNAcentral lists this ribosomal RNA (200 nucleotides) under uncultured bacterium. Its description in RNAcentral is "partial 16S ribosomal RNA". It matches the Rfam family "Bacterial small subunit ribosomal RNA", at positions 8 to 208 of the family's 1533-position model. The record is from RNAcentral.
AGAGUUUGAUCCUGGCUCAGGACGAACGCUGGCGGCGUGCUUAACACAUGCAAGUCGAACGGAGAUAAUAGCAAUAUUAUCUUAGUGGCGGACGGGUGAGUAACGCGUGGGCAACCUGCCUUCAACAGGGGGAUAACACAGGGAAACUUGUGCUAAUACCGCAUGACAUACCGGGAGGACAUCCUUCUGGUAUCAAAGGA